RNAcentral lists this ribosomal RNA (1368 nucleotides) under Stenamma megamanni. RNAcentral describes it as "16S ribosomal RNA". Lineage: Eukaryota; Metazoa; Arthropoda; Insecta; Hymenoptera; Formicidae. The record is from RNAcentral.
AGUAUUUAAUUAAUUUUAUUAAUAAAAAUUUUAUUUUUAUUUAAAAUUAUAAUAAUAAUUGAAGUUAUUUAAUUAAAUUAAUCUAAUUAAAUUAAAUUAUAGUGAGAGUAAUGUAAAUGAAGAUUAAUAAAAUCGUUAAAAAAAAAUUUAAGUUAUUGUACUUUUUGUAUCAAGGAUUAUUAAAUUAUAAUUUUAUUAUUUAAGAGAUCUCGAAUUUAAAAGAGCGAAUAGGUUAGGAUAGUUAAUGUUAUAUAAUUAUUAUUAAUAAUUUAUUAGUGAAGAAAUUUUAGUCAAUUUUAAAGAUAUCUAGUUUUUUUUUUUUUAAAUUUAAUUUAGUCUUAGUAGUUAGAAAUUAUUUAAUUAUAUAUAAAAAUUUUUUUAUUAAGAUAAUAAUUUAUGGGAUAAACUAUAAAUUUUAUUAAAAUUAGGUAAAUAAUUUUUAUUAAAAAUUAUAUUUAUAGAAUUUGAAAUUAAUAAAAAAAAUUUAAUAAUUUAUUAUAAUAAUUAAUUUUAAAAUUUAUAUUAUAAUAUAAAAUAAAAUAUUUAAUUAUGUUAAGAAAAAAUAAUUAUAAUUUUUUAAAUUAAUAUAUAAUGAUAAUAUUAGUAUAAAUAAAAUUGGAGAAAGUAAAGUAAUAUUGUUAGAGAAUAUUAAUUUAAGGAAUUAGGCAAAUUUGUUAAGUCCAGCUGUUUAAUAAAAACAUAGCUUUAUGAUUAUAAUUUAAGGUUAUUUCUGCCCCCUGAUUGUUUUAAAUGGCUGCAGUAUCCUGACUGUGCAAAGGUAGCAUAAUCAAUUGUUUUUUAAUUGGAAACCGGUAUGAACGGAGACAUGAGAUUUAAGCUGUCUUAAGUUAAAAAUUAGAAAUUGUUUGUUGAGUAAAAAAACUUAAGUAUGAGUAUGGGACGAGAAGACCCUAUAGAAUUUGAAAUAAGUUUUAAAGAGAAUAAGAGUUAGGUGUAAGUUUAUUUAAAGAUUAUUUUUAAUUGGGAGGAUUGUUAAAUUAAAUAAACUUUAAUUAAUAUAAUAGUACUAAUUAGUAAAUUUUAGGUUGGCAUUAUUGAUUGAAAAGAAUUAAUUACCUUAGGGAUAACAGCGUAAUAUUUUUAGAAAGAUCAUAUUGAUAAAAAUGGAUGCGACCUCGAUGUUGAAUUAAGAUAAAAAUUAAAUGAAGAAGUUUAAUAUUUAAGUCUGUUCGACUUUUAAAAUCUUACAUGAUUUGAGUUUAGAUCGGCGUGAGCCAGAUCGGUUUCUAUCUAUAUUUAAUUUAAAAAUUUUUGUACGAAAGGACUUUAUUUUUGUAAAAUUUAUAGGAUGUAUAUAUGAUAUAUAUUAAUGAUUAUGUUAAUAAUUACUUUGGCAGAAUAGUGUGU